AAAAGCAAUUCCUGGAAGACUCUAUGGAGGGAACCUGCUAGAUAACAGUGAGGGAAAUGGGGGUGACAGAUUUGGUCAUUUGGUUGAUCUGUAUUGUUGGAAUCCACACUGCCGUUAUUUGGAUGGCUAUGGUCCAUCAGUAAAUGAUACUAGUGCACAGAAUGAUUGGAAAGGAACAUGGUGGCACAGUAGCUUGACUCACUCAGGUUUUAU
RNAcentral lists this unclassified non-coding RNA (213 nucleotides) under Hevea brasiliensis (rubber tree). The record is from RNAcentral. Lineage: Eukaryota; Viridiplantae; Streptophyta; Magnoliopsida; Malpighiales; Euphorbiaceae.